CUACGGGUGGCACCAGUGAGGAAUAUUGCACAAUGGGGGGAACCCCGAUGCAGCAACGCCGCGUGGAGGAUGACGCAUUUCGGUGUGUAAACUCCUUUUAUAUGUCGAGAAAAUGACGGUAGCAUAUGAAUAAGCACCGGCUAACUCCGUGCCAGCAGCCGCGGUAAUACGGAGGGUGCAAGCGUUACUCGGAAUCACUGGGCGUAAAGGACGCGUAGGCGGGUUGGAAAGUCAGGUGUGAAAUCCUACAGCUUAACUGUAGAACUGCACUUGAAACUUCUAAUCUAGAGUAUGGGAGGGGGAGAUGGAAUUAGUGGUGUAGGGGUAAAAUCCGUAGAUAUCACUAGGAAUACCUAAAGCGAAGGCGAUCUCCUGGAACAUUACUGACGCUAAGGCGUGAAAGCGUGGGGAGCAAACAGGAUUAGAUACCCCCGUAGUC
RNAcentral lists this ribosomal RNA (439 nucleotides) under uncultured bacterium. RNAcentral's name for it is "partial 16S ribosomal RNA". It matches the Rfam family "Bacterial small subunit ribosomal RNA", at positions 339 to 795 of the family's 1533-position model. The record is from RNAcentral.